RNAcentral lists this long non-coding RNA (2629 nucleotides) under Fukomys damarensis (Damara mole-rat). RNAcentral describes it as "lncRNA (ENSFDAG00000027658.1)". Lineage: Eukaryota; Metazoa; Chordata; Mammalia; Rodentia; Bathyergidae. The record is from RNAcentral.
GGAGGUUUGAGACAGGAUCUAACUAUGCAGUUGAGACUGCCCUGGAACUCACUACGUAGCCCGGGCUGGUCUCAAACUCACAGCGAUCCUUCUGCCUCAGCCUCCUGAGUGCUGGGAUUACAGGCGUGUGUCACCGCACCGGGCUGAACUGGAUGAAUUUUAAAGAAGUGCUGCAUCCUGGCUGAAAUCCUGCUGUCUCACCACCAUGACUGUAUAUCAGCAGUGUGAACCGUGAAAAUGAAAGGCGGUCCGGGAAGUGCUGCUUUUAAAUUUCCAGACUCUGCAGAGGAAGAGGAAGAGUGCGGAAUGAGACGGCCAGCAGGAGCAGAGGGAGCGCCGCGGUUUACCUCCACCUCUGUGGGCGUAUUCAGCGUCUCAGAUUACGGAUCCAUCCGCCAAUUCGCUGCUGAGGUAGAAACGCCCUCGGAGGGCACGGGGACGUCCUAGAAGGGUCUGAGGUGCUUUGCAGCUGUGGUAAUUUCUCUUUCACAAUGCUGGCUUUCAGAGAAUGUGUCCUUCAUGCUGGCUCCUCCAGGGCUGGCCGGGUCUAACUGCCUACAAGAUAUCUAACACCUAUCUACAAUAUCAGGACCCCAUGGGGGCCCAUCGGGUGGUGCCUAAGGGGCCUGCAGCGUGCGUCACCCCUGAACCCCAGCUGUGUGGCCCUCCUAGGAAGUGCUGAUUCGCUGUUGCCAUUUCCUUUUCCCCAGCAACCACUCAAGGCACCUGGUCGGAAAGGGCGUCUCACCCCGCCCCCCACACUGUGGAAAUGCCUGCCCCAAACCAAGACACUGAAUUCACGCAGAUCGUCUUGACAGCCCACAAAAUUUCUCUCCAGUCUCCAGCAGUCUAACUCACUAAAAUUGAGAAAGCCUUUUCCCCUCCUUACUCAAGGUCACACAGACUGCCUAAAUAGGAGCUCGAUCUUCUUCCCCCAACACAACAAAACAGUCUCUGUUCAAAGCAUGCAGAUCUAAGCUUCCUUAAAGACCUUGUAACAUACACAAAAAUCACAUAUAAAUGCAUAUAAUUUACAUACAAAUAAAGUGCCUAUUGUUAUGAGGUUCCCAAAACUAUCAAGUCAAAUCCAAAAGCAUCUCUACCAGGCGGGUGGAGGUGCACACCUGUAAUUCCAGAACUCAGGAGGUUUAGGCAGGAGGAUCACCUGAGUUUGGCUACUAGACAAUGAGUUCAAGACCAUCUUGAACCACACAGCGAGACCCUGUCUCAAAAGUAACAAACAAAAGUCACCUGUAGAAACUAGAAUAGCUCCUUUGGAAAAAAAAAAAAUUUGAACCACACAGCGAGACCCUGUCUCAAAAGUAACAAACAAAAGUCACCUGUAGAAACUAGAAUAGCUCCUUUGGAAGAAAAAAAAAAAACUUUAUUCACAAUGUGCACACAUAACACAUAUUAUCUUAAACUUUUCUUCCUUUUCCUAUUAUUUUUAAGUCCUUCUGAACCUGCUAAGAAAAUAAAAUAGAACACCUAGAAACUGACCUCACAAAUAAAUGAAACGAGCUGGGCACGGCGGGUCGCGCCUGUAAUCCCAGCACUGGUUUCUCAUGAGUUUGAGGCCAGCCCUGGGCUACAUAGGGAGUUCAAGACCAGCCUGAACUCCAUAGUGAGACCUUCACUAACAAACAAACAAACAAAUGAAAUGACAUUUUAGAGUCUAUGGUUGGCUCUCCUCUUGGUACAAGUAAAGACACACAAAAGUACAUACAGUAUUUAUUUCACUUGAACGCAACCACUAACGAGGAUCCGUGAAAUCAGGUACUUGAAAACAUGUGAACUGUCCCAACUGCCAGAGGGAGGAGGAAGCUGUGAUCAGAGAGAAGCAGCGGGAUGGCGAUGAAAUCCCAAAGUUCCGAGGAAAACCUUUGGUGCCCGGCCUCCGAACACUGCCUGGGGCGGUCCUUCUAGAGGCCACGCCCUCUGUGGCCCCGCCCACAAUGACCCUGAGGCUCAGAGCCUGGCUCUGGAGAGUCAGCGGUCUCUGCUCUGCAGGACGAAGAGCUCGCCCUGACUAAUGGGAGAGGAAACCUCGUCGCUCUGUUGGAGCGACCGCCUGGGAAGAGAAGCCUGAGACCUGGCGGAGAGGAGAGGCCUGCCUGGUCCGCCAGGCAUCUAAGCCAAGCCUGCUCUCCCCACCACCCACACCAGGGUACCGGGCCAAGAAGAACUAACUCUUAGACAUUCCAACCUGAUGGAGCCCCCAGACAACCACAGUCCCAUCUGAUGGGACCGGACGAGCAACGAAGGAACCACCUAGAUGGGCCCGGUCGGUCACAGAAUUGUGGGAAAUUUAAAGCACUGUUUUAAACCAUUAAAGUCUUUGACAGCUUGUCACGCAUCAAGGGAUAACCAAAAAGAAGGUAUCGUAAAAAUGAUCAGAAAUAAAAUACAUUACUUUUUAAAAAUGAUCAGAGAAGCCAUGCGUGGUGGUACCACCCAGCUCCUGGGAAGGUGAGUGAGGAGGACCUCUUGAGCAGAGUUAGAGACCUGGGCAACAUAGAGACUCCAUCUCCACAACUAUAAAUUAUUCUGAGAUAUCAUCCCACCAAGUAUUUACAUGCAUCAUAAACACUAAAAGGUAUAAGUUUCUUCAAGGACACUGAUUAUUUUG